RNAcentral lists this ribosomal RNA (1404 nucleotides) under uncultured bacterium. RNAcentral describes it as "bacterial SSU rRNA". It matches the Rfam family "Bacterial small subunit ribosomal RNA". The record is from RNAcentral.
AGAGUUUGAUCCUGGCUCAGAUUGAACGCUGGCGGCAGGCUUAACACAUGCAAGUCGAGCGGGGAGAUGUAGCUUGCUACAUUUCCUAGCGGCGGACGGGUGAGUAAUGCUUAGGAAUCUGCCUAUUAGUGGGGGACAACAUUCCGAAAGGAAUGCUAAUACCGCAUACGCCCUACGGGGGAAAGCAGGGGAUCUUCGGACCUUGCGCUAAUAGAUGAGCCUAAGUCAGAUUAGCUAGUUGGUGGGGUAAAGGCCUACCAAGGCGACGAUCUGUAGCGGGUCUGAGAGGAUGAUCCGCCACACUGGGACUGAGACACGGCCCAGACUCCUACGGGAGGCAGCAGUGGGGAAUAUUGGACAAUGGGCGAAAGCCUGAUCCAGCCAUGCCGCGUGUGUGAAGAAGGCCUUUUGGUUGUAAAGCACUUUAAGCGAGGAGGAGGCUACUUAGAUUAAUACUCUGGGAUAGUGGACGUUACUCGCAGAAUAAGCACCGGCUAACUCUGUGCCAGCAGCCGCGGUAAUACAGAGGGUGCGAGCGUUAAUCGGAUUUACUGGGCGUAAAGCGUGCGUAGGCGGCUUUUUAAGUCGGACGUGAAAUCCCUGAGCUUAACUUAGGAAUUGCAUUCGAUACUGGGAAGCUAGAGUAUGGGAGAGGAUGGUAGAAUUCCAGGUGUGUAGUCCAUGCCGUAAACGAUGUCCACUAGCCGUUGGGGCCUUUGAGGCUUUAGUGGCGCAGCUAACGCGAUAAGUAGACCGCCUGGGGAGUACGGUCGCAAGACUAAAACUCAAAUGAAUUGACGGGGGCCCGCACAAGCGGUGGAGCAUGUGGUUUAAUUCGAUGCAACGCGAAGAACCUUACCUGGUCUUGACAUAGUAAGAACUUUCCAGAGAUGGAUUGGUGCCUUCGGGAACUUACAUACAGGUGCUGCAUGGCUGUCGUCAGCUCGUGUCGUGAGAUGUUGGGUUAAGUCCCGCAACGAGCGCAACCCUUUUCUUUAUUUGCCAGCGGGUUAAGCCGGGAACUUUAAGGAUACUGCCAGUGACAAACUGGAGGAAGGCGGGGACGACGUCAAGUCAUCAUGGCCCUUACGACCAGGGCUACACACGUGCUACAAUGGUCGGUACAAAGGGUUGCUACCUAGCGAUAGGAUGCUAAUCUCAAAAAGCCGAUCGUAGUCCGGAUUGGAGUCUGCAACUCGACUCCAUGAAGUCGGAAUCGUUAGUAAUCGCGGAUCAGAAUGCCGCGGUGAAUACGUUCCCGGGCCUUGUACACACCGCCCGUCACACCAUGGGAAUUUGUUGCACCAGAAGUGGGUAGUCUAACCGCAAGGAGGACGCUUACCACGGUGUGGCCGAUGACUGGGGUGAAGUCGUAACAAGGUAACCAAGGGCGAAUUCCACAUU